UAGGGAAUCUUCGGCAAUGGACGAAAGUCUGACCGAGCAACGCCGCGUGAGUGAAGAAGGUUUUCGGCUCGUAAAACUCUGUUGUUAGAGAAGAACAAGGACGUUAGUAACUGAACGUCCCCUGACGGUAUCUAACCAGAAAGCCACGGCUAACUACGUGCCAGCAGCCGCGGUAAUACGUAGGUGGCAAGCGUUGUCCGGAUUUAUUGGGCGUAAAGCGAGCGCAGGCGGUUUCUUAAGUCUGAUGUGAAAGCCCCCGGCUCCACCGGGGAGGGUCAGUAGAAACUGGGAGACUUGAGUGCAGAAGAGGAGAGUGGAAUUCCAUGUGUAGCGGUGAAAUGCGUAGAUAUAUAGAGGAACACCAGUGGCGAAGGCGGCUCUCUGGUCUGUAACUGACGAUGAGGCUCGAAAGGGUGGGGAGCAAACAGG
RNAcentral lists this ribosomal RNA (429 nucleotides) under Gemmatimonadota bacterium. RNAcentral's name for it is "Gemmatimonadetes bacterium partial 16S ribosomal RNA". It matches the Rfam family "Bacterial small subunit ribosomal RNA", at positions 355 to 776 of the family's 1533-position model. Lineage: Bacteria; Pseudomonadati; Gemmatimonadota. The record is from RNAcentral.